UACGUAGGGGCCUAGCGUUGUCCGGAUUUAUUGGGCGUAAAGAGCUCGUAGGCGGCUUGGUUAGUCAGGUGUGAAAUCUCCACGCUCAACGUGGAGGGGCCACCUGAUACUGCCAUGGCUUGAGUCCGGUAGGGGAGUGUGGAAUUCCCGGUGUAGCGGUGAAAUGCGCAGAUAUCGGGAGGAACACCAAUGGCGAAAGCAGCUCUCUGGGACGGUACUGACGCUGAGACGCGAAAGCGUGGGGAGCGAACAGG
RNAcentral lists this ribosomal RNA (254 nucleotides) under uncultured bacterium. Its description in RNAcentral is "partial 16S ribosomal RNA". It matches the Rfam family "Bacterial small subunit ribosomal RNA", at positions 524 to 776 of the family's 1533-position model. The record is from RNAcentral.